This 67-nucleotide transfer RNA is filed under the name Ceratostoma burnetti. Its description in RNAcentral is "tRNA-His". It matches the Rfam family "tRNA". Rfam says of the family: Transfer RNA (tRNA) molecules are approximately 80 nucleotides in length. Their secondary structure includes four short double-helical elements and three loops (D, anti-codon, and T loops). Further hydrogen bonds mediate the characteristic L-shaped molecular structure. tRNAs have two regions of fundamental functional importance: the anti-codon, which is responsible for specific mRNA codon recognition, and the 3' end, to which the tRNAs corresponding amino acid is attached (by aminoacyl-tRNA synthetases). tRNAs cope with the degeneracy of the genetic code in two manners: having more than one tRNA (with a specific anti-codon) for a particular amino acid; and 'wobble' base-pairing, i.e. permitting non-standard base-pairing at the 3rd anti-codon position. The record is from RNAcentral. Lineage: Eukaryota; Metazoa; Mollusca; Gastropoda; Neogastropoda; Muricidae.
GUCAAGUUAGUUUAAAAUAAAACAUCAGCCUGUGGAUUUGAAAAUGAAAUUAUAAUCUCACUUGACC